GACGAACGCUGGCGGCGUGCUUAACACAUGCAAGUCGAGCGGAGCGGCGAACGGGUGAGUAAAGCGUGAGUAACUGCCCCCCUCUCUGGGAUAACAGUUGGAAACGGCUGCUAAUACCGGAUAGCGGGGGAUGACUCGCGUCCGAUCGGCUUGUUGGGGGGGUAGUGGACUACCAAGGCGACGACGGGUAGCCGGCCUGAGAGGGCGACCGUCCACAUUGGGCUGAGAUACUGCCCAAGCUCCUACGGGGGGCAGCAGGGGGGAAUAUUGCACAAUCGUGGAAACCCUGAUGCAGCAACGCGCGUGCGGGAUGACGGCCUUCGGGUUGUAAACCGCUUUCAGCCAUGACUCGGUAGUGGCAGAAGAAGCACCGGCUAACUACGUGCCAGCAGCCGCGGUAAUUC
RNAcentral lists this ribosomal RNA (404 nucleotides) under uncultured bacterium. RNAcentral's name for it is "partial 16S ribosomal RNA". It matches the Rfam family "Bacterial small subunit ribosomal RNA", at positions 28 to 526 of the family's 1533-position model. The record is from RNAcentral.